UUUCUCUCCAUCUUCUCUUCUCACCCUCUCCACCUAACCCGCUCUCUGGAACCGUCGAACCCACUAUUGGAGACCACCGUCAAAAUCACAAUGACAAUGGCUCUCCAUGGAUUCGUGACUAUUGACGACUCGCUCAGGCUAAAGCGCUAAAUGUCAGAUUGCUGGAGAUCUGAGAUUUGAGUGCUACCAUCGCUGGAGAUUGUACUGUCGCCCGUUUCGCUGAAAGCAGGAAAGUUGCAAUGCCAGCGUCUAAGAUCAAUGAUGUCUCUACGCGCGGCUGCGACUUUCUCUCUGAUCUGUACUGUCGAUGUAGAGAUUGCAUAGCUGUCGAUGGAGAGUUUGAAAUGCUGCCGCUAGAGAACAAUGAUGGUGGUAGUUUGCUGCAUUUGGUGGUGUUUAUGGUUUUUUUAUGUUUUGGCGUUGG
This 424-nucleotide long non-coding RNA is filed under the name Olea europaea (common olive). RNAcentral's name for it is "long non-coding RNA (OEUR_LNC001351)". The record is from RNAcentral. Lineage: Eukaryota; Viridiplantae; Streptophyta; Magnoliopsida; Lamiales; Oleaceae.